Molecule: long non-coding RNA, 3260 nt
Filed under: Pelobates cultripes (western spadefoot toad)
Lineage: Eukaryota; Metazoa; Chordata; Amphibia; Anura; Pelobatidae
Source: RNAcentral
UGAAUUAUGGUGGGCAGGCUUUUUUUAGACAGAUGCACAGUUGUUACAUGGUCAUUUUAUUUAUCAAUAGAUUUAACAACAUUCGGUGAUGUUCAAAGAAAGAUAUUUUUUUAUUUUUAUAACUCGAUUGAUGCUUCUCCUGAACUUGUUACGACUUGGAUUUCAUUAUUCUAUUUAAGAUAUAUUCUCUAACAUAUUGACUCCAUUCAACUAAUGAGGUGACUUCUGAAGGCAGUUGGUUACACCAGACCUUAUUCAGUGUUAUAGAAAGAGGGGAACUGGGGAGAAUAUUUAUGUAACAAUUUAUAUAUUUAUUCAUUGUGUAAAAAUAAAAUAUUUUGCCUCUUAAACGUAUUAUCAAUGCAUAAAUAAAUUAAAUGAUAAAGUCAAUUAGAAUCAAUUUUAAUUCUAGCUGCACCCCUACCAAAUAUUUAAAGAUGCACUCCACACUCCCAAAUGCAUUUCAGCUUGGUAAAGUGCUUUAUAGAUAAGGAGUAUUCUAGUUUAAUCCCAGUUUUUUUUAAAGUGCAGAUUUCUAUGAGAAAUCAGCACUUUUAUAGAUGAACUAGGGAACACCCCCAGGGUCUCCCGUUAGCUCCCCUAAACUAAAGGAAGUGGCAGACACGCUCUACUUGAGUGUGCCUGCCUUCUCCUAUACAGACCUCAGAUCAGAUGUGUGUAUGUGCACAAACCAGCGUACUGUUCAAUGAGAAGCCUCAAUGAGAAGCUUCUGAUUGGUUGACUGAAAGUUUCUUCUGGGAAAAUGGGGAGAGCUUGCUUAGGCUGCAGUUCAUAAGAUCUGCAGCCUUUGCAAACUAUUUUUAAGAUAUGCCCCAAUAAAUAUGCAUAAUAAGUUCAUGCAUGCAUUUGUUGGGGGUAUAUCUACUAAAUAGCGAUUUCCCUUUUUUUUUUUUUUUUUGCCCAUUUGGGCAGUGGAGUGUUCCUUUAAGCAUUUCCAUGAGAUGAAUAAUGCAAAGCAUUGCAAAUGGUCACUUGGCUUAUUUAUGACUAUGUAAGAGGAGCUGAUCCUCGAGACAAAUCAGAUGAUUUGCGUGCUAGAGUAUGUGAAGAAUAUUUCAUAUUAAUGCUUACUUAAAGCAUCUUCAGAUGUUGUGGACUACAUCUCCCAUAAUGCUUUGCCACCAUUAUGGCUUUAUGGGAGAUGUGUUCCCAACGCUCUAGUGCUCUAGUCACCGUUUGGGUGAUCAGGCAAGAGAUGAAGGAUGUAUUUUACUUACCUUUUUCCACUCACCACUUUUUCCACUGUCUCCUUGUUCUUUUCAUGAGACCAUUGAGAUGGAUGAUCUUGUCCAAUACAAUGCUUUCUCAUAGGAAAGCAUUUGUAGUCUUGUGUGCAUGCGCAGCAAAAUGUUGCGAUGCUCCAAUCAAAGGGUCUUUUUGAUUUACAGCUGGAGAGUUUGACUGCAACUGACAGCAGCCAGAGGCAAAUUAACCAUACAAUGCAAAUCAUACUGUUCCUGUAGAAUUUCAAUGUUUUGCACUGCAUGGUUAAAACGUGGGGCACAUGUCACCCUUUCCACUUGAUUGAGAGUGGCCGGGGUGCCUAUAGUGUUCCUUUAACUAAUGUUCUGUUGAGACGCAUUUUCAAAAAGUAACUUGUUUUUUCCUGAUAUUAAAGGCUUACUUCACCCUGCACUGAGAUCCUUAGGUCAAUAUUAAAUUCUUAUUUGUCGUGGUUUUUAAAAUGUGGGACACAAAUCUGUGAUUUAUUAUUUUUCUUCUUUUUUUGUCAAAAUUCCAAGUCUCUUUGAAAUUCCUAUAUUAUAUUUGAUUCUGUGGCAUUACUAUAGUAUAGGGGCAUAAAGAGUAUAGUUUUGUAUGUUUAUUGUUAUUUAUGUAUCCAGCUAUAAUGCACUUAUACAGUUUGAGCAGAUUUAUAGAUGUGCAAGUAGAAUGAGGACUGAAAGUUAAAAGCUACUGUUUAUAAUUAUUCACUAUUUCAGUUAGUGGUCAUUGGAUGUAUUCACUUUUCUCACAACUCUAAUUAGAAACAAUAUGAAUCUCAUUGCUUUGGAAACUGGAAUCUAUGUGUAGAAAUGUAUUGUAUGUUCAUUAUCUAGUAUUUUGCUUUAGGACAGCUAAUCGUGAAUGUUUAAAUUAUUUAAUAAAAUGCACUUGAAUAUAUAGAGAACAUAACACAUGCUUAGUGUCCGAGACAGGCUGGAAAAUUCAGAUAAAGGGAAAACAUAGACCAGAAACAUAACUGAUACCCAAAUUAUCCCAACAUAGUCAAUAUAUAUUGGCCAGAUUUUUGGAUAAGAGAUAUGCGUUCAUGAAAGAGGUCUAAAAAAAGAGUACAUAGGGAUAAGUUUAAAAAAAAUCUAUAAUAAAGUUUCUAAAUGUGAAAUGAUGUCUGGGAAUAUUUAAUUUGUUUCCAUUAUAAUCUCAUUACUUUUUGCAAACACAUAUGUCUAUAUAUACCAUAGGAUUUACUUUUAUACAUAACCCAAAACUAAUCUGGCCAAAAUAAAUGGUUGCAUCAGUUCUCGGAUGUCAAAAUGAAAAGGAUUAAAGCAAUCAUAACUUUUUUUAUUGGUGAAAUCAGAGCAGCAGUAGUGGCUUCUCCUAAAACCAGCCUUCCUCUGCCUGCCCUUUACACAAUGUGAGCACAUAUGAUAUACUGGUUAUGUCUAAACUAACAUCCAACAGAGCUACAUCUUAUGUAGCCAACAAGAACACAUGAUGUUUCAAGUGUAUACAGUACCUAUAGUUGAAAGCUGUUGAUUAAUUGUGGCUGUUACUGUAAUAAAUUUUACUCUUGUAAUAUCUGUAGCCUUUGGUACAACCCUUAGUGCCUUACAAAGGUUGUAAACAUUUGUAGUCACGGUAGAAAUACAAUUUUACAUAGGAGUCUGUUGUGAUGUCAAAUUGGGUCCAUACAACAGUAUAACCAUCAGUACCUUAACUUGGCUAGUGUGUUUUAGCACAGUAAUGGGUUUAGUUUAGACUCAGGGAAUAGUGUGCACAUAUGGAUGAAACAAUGUAUCUCUGUAUUGUACAUUUUAUAGAAAAUAUCUACUGUAAAAUAAUCCACAUGUAAAUCCUGUACAAAUAUUUAUUGUAUGACAAUAUGCCAUAAUGUAUGUGAUCUAUGUUUGAUUAACCAUAUCUUUAAACUGUAAUGUUUGGUUUCGUGCUAAAUGAGUAAUUCUUAGACCAUGAAAUUGACUUUCUGUUGAUCAGUUACAAAGUUUACAAAUAUUUUUGUAAUGUGAUUAAGAUAUAAAUAUAUAUUAAAG